This 453-nucleotide long non-coding RNA is filed under the name Physcomitrium patens. Its description in RNAcentral is "long non-coding RNA (PPAT_LNC001767)". Lineage: Eukaryota; Viridiplantae; Streptophyta; Bryopsida; Funariales; Funariaceae. The record is from RNAcentral.
AUUGUAAAACAAAAAAAUCUUAUCUAUUCUAUAUAGCCCUAUUCUUAACUGUGUAGCAUCCUUGUAAAUAUAAAAUUAAUAAAAUAAAUUUCUUCAAUGAAUCUUUACAAAUUUUCUACUAUUUGGGCUCAUUAGAUUGAUCAAUCUCAACAUUGUUUGUAGAUGGCUCUAUAGAUUCUAGUUCUAAUGUUAAGUCUUCAUCUUCCUCUGAUACUUCUAUUGGAUCUAUCUUCAAUUGGGCUAAUAAAUCUUCAUUAUAGGCUCCCAAUUCACGAACUUGAGCUUCCAAUUAUAGAAUCUUAACAUCAUUUGUUUCCAAUUUGUGUUGCUAUUGCCUCACCCUCUCCUCUAAUUAACCAAUUAUUGAAACUAGUGGAAUAGAUGUCUAUGAUUGACUAAUACUAGCUAAAUCAUCAUCUAAUUUUUUUUACUAAAUCUUUCAAAGUUCUAAUU